Long non-coding RNA from Uloborus diversus, 212 nucleotides. RefSeq lists it as uncharacterized. The record is from RefSeq and is a predicted model, not a curated record. NCBI's taxonomy places the organism in Eukaryota, Metazoa, Arthropoda, Arachnida, Araneae, Uloboridae. The transcript has 2 exons.
GUUUAGCCCCGCAGUACCCCACAAAGCCUUCAAGAAAAAAACGAAUUUGGAUGUGCCCAAAAUGUGUAAAAUGUAAAAGUUGUGGUACUACUUCACCAGCUUCUGGUGCUGGUUUAUUAUGGAAUUUUGAUUUACUUCUAUGUCAAUCCUGUGCAAAGUUAACUGAUAAAGGUAUAGAGUGCUUUUAAAUAAUAAAAUCUUGUUUUUAAAUG